AAGCGUAAUAGCUCACUGGUCGAGUCGGCCUGCGCGGAAGAUGUAACGGGGCUAAGCGAUACACCGAAGCUGCGGCAAUGCGAUUUAUCGUAUUGGGUAGGGGAGCGUUGUGUAAGCCGUUGAAGGUGUGCUGAGAGGCAUGCUGGAGGUAUCACAAGUGCGAAUGCUGACAUGAGUAACGAUAAAGGGGGUGAAAAACCUCCUCGCCGGAAGACCAAGGGUUCCUGUCCAACGUUAAUCGGGGCAGGGUAAGUCGGCCCCUAAGGCGAGGCCGAAAGGCGUAGUCGAUGGGAAACGGGUUAAUAUUCCCGUACUGCUACUUACUGCGAUGGGGGGACGGAGAAGGCUAGGUGGGCCUGGCGACGGUUGUCCAGGUUCAAGGGUGUAGGCUGUAAUCUUAGGCAAAUCCGGGAUUACGCACGGUCGAGACC
RNAcentral lists this ribosomal RNA (431 nucleotides) under Candidatus Regiella insecticola. RNAcentral's name for it is "partial 23S ribosomal RNA". It matches the Rfam family "Bacterial large subunit ribosomal RNA", at positions 1130 to 1563 of the family's 2925-position model. Lineage: Bacteria; Pseudomonadati; Pseudomonadota; Gammaproteobacteria; Enterobacterales; Enterobacteriaceae. The record is from RNAcentral.